Molecule: ribosomal RNA, 489 nt
Filed under: Paragrostia brulei
Lineage: Eukaryota; Metazoa; Arthropoda; Insecta; Phasmatodea; Pseudophasmatidae
Description: partial large subunit ribosomal RNA
Source: RNAcentral
UCUYUUGAUUUUAUAUGAGAUAUGUCCUGCCCAAUGAUUAAUUUAAUGGCCGCGGUAUCUUGRCCGUGCAAAGGUAGCAUAAUCAUUAKUCUAUUAAUUGUGGACUUGUAUGAAUGGUUUGACGAAAUAUUUACUGUCUCAUUUUCAUUAAUAUAAAUUAAUUUUUUUGUUAAAAAGCUUAAAUUUUUUUGUAGGACGAGAAGACCCUGUAGAUCUUGAAAUUNUCUAUUUAUUAUUCAUUUUGGWUUAUUUUUUAGUNUYUAAUUAGGUUUUUUUGGUUGGGGUGACCAUGAGGNAUAAUUAACUCUUUAUUAUAUUAUACAUUUAUUUUUGAUUAUAUGACCUUAUUUUAUUGUUAUAAGAUAUAGAUACCUUAGGGAUAACAGCGUAAUCUUUUUUGAGAGUUCAUAUCGACAAUAAGGAUUGCGACCUCGAUGUUGAAUUAARAAUAUAUUUAGGCGUAGAAGUUUAAUAUUAUAGGUCUGUUCC